This is a long non-coding RNA of Ailuropoda melanoleuca (giant panda), 8866 nucleotides long. RefSeq lists it as uncharacterized. The record is from RefSeq and is a predicted model, not a curated record. NCBI's taxonomy places the organism in Eukaryota, Metazoa, Chordata, Mammalia, Carnivora, Ursidae. The transcript has 3 exons.
AAAAAAAAAUUGGAAAAGAAUAUCACAGAGCUGGUGUGCCCUUCUCUUUGCAUUAUGUUAGGAAGCGGUUUGUUAAGGUGGUGUCUGCUAGGUUUAUUUUCAGAUUCCAAUUGUUUAUUGCUUGUAAUAGGAGUACAACUGACUUUCAUAUAAUGAUGUGUUCUGCGUCCUUGCCAAAUUCGUUUUUAGUUCCUGUUGUUUGUUGCAAGUCCUUUUAGAUUUUCUACAUAGUCAUAUCUUCUGCAAAUAUAGUUUUACUCCUUUCUUUCCAAUCUGUGUAUCUUAUAUUUUUAAUUCAUUCAGCUGGAUAGGACUUCCAAUACAGUGUUGAUUAGGAGUAAUGUGAGUGGACAUCCUUACCUCUUCCUGAUCUUUGGACAAAAGCACUCAGUUUCUCACCAUUAGGUAGGAUGUUAGUUGUAUAUGCCAUUUUAUUAGGUUAAGGAAUCUCCCUCCUGUCUCUAGUUUGCUGAGCAUUUAUAUUAUAAAUGUUCAAUUUGGUCAAAUUUGUCUUCUGUAUCUGCUGAAACAAUCAUAUAGUGUUUUGUAUUAUGUUUGUAAUAGGGAUUACAUUGUUUAUUAAGACAGCCUUUCGUUCCUCAGAUGAACCAUGUAUUAUUUUUAUAUACUGCUGGAUUCAGUUUGCUGAAAUUUUAUUGAUGAAUUUUACAUCUAUGUUUAUGAGGGAUAUUGUCAGUGGUUUUCUUCUCAUGUCUUUGAUUUUGGUUUUACAGUAAUGUUAGCCUCAUAAUAUGAGUUGAGAAGUGUUCCUUCUCUAUUUUCUUGAAGAUACUGCAUAGAAUUAGAAUUUUCCUAUAAAACCAUCUGGGCCUUGAGAGUUUUUGGAAAGUUUUAAAUACAGAUACAAUUACUUUCUUUAUACCUACUAUUUAUUCUUGAGUUUGAUAGUUUGUAUUCUUGAAGGAAUUUUGUUCUGUAGUGGAGAUAGAGGGGAAAGAUCUUGGUGGAGUUUCAGCCUCAUGCAGAGCUGCUAUUCCCCUACCCUGGGUCUCCACCACAGUGGAUAUUCCUUAGGGUUCCUUCUGAUCUUUUCUGUGAGUGCCAGGUAGAGUUCAUGGAAGAAGAGCCUAUGAGACAAUGUGGACCCCCCCCCCCCAGUAUCUUUGGUCCCAAGGGUUCACAGUUUUUGCCAUUCUGGAGUCUGCCUUCACCUGUUUGCUGGCUAUACCAGCUGUACUACCUCAGGUGGGCUUAUGUCACCUCUCCUUUUUCCUGCAGGGAAGACUUUGGAUCAUUUGUUUCCUUUGCAACCUUAGGUCUCCUGUGGAUUCACAUGAAGUCUUAAAUUUGAAGCCAGUUUUAUUCUUUUUUUGCUGCAAGGAUGGAAGAAAUAACUUUUUCCAGGUCUCUGCAUCUUGAGGCAAAAGUCUUCAUGUUUCUUAAACACCAACUUCAAGAUCUAUUAAGUUAAGCCAAGUGGUGGUUAUGUUUAUUCUGACCUCUGCACAUGAAUGACUUAUCCUGAAAAUACAUGAUAGUGUGAUAAUGACUUGAGACCUCCCAAAGCACUCUGAAAAAUUCAGUUUAAAGAACGUAGUUUGUUUUGUUGGAUUUGGACUUCUAUUUGAAGUAAGGAGAGACAACCAAGCAACUUAAGCCUAGAUUCUCCUAAAGUAUUAGGUAAGUAAGAAAAACAGUCUUGUUAGAAGGAAUUCUUCUACAAGCACAUGAGCUAUAGUAAGUUUGAUUCAUAGGUAAAGCUUACUACUUGUUAAGCUUCAGGAUGGAAAAUGCUUUGUAUUUAUAAUUUAUACUCUUUCUACGUCCAAACAAGGGAGCAUAUUCUUUCAGUGAAAAAUUAUAUAUGCCUGAAUUGAGGUCAACCUGGUCUGAUGAGAGUAUAGAAGUAGGCCAAAAACACCCAUAAAGGGUGAAAUUAAAAACUUUCUAGAAGAAAAUGUAGGAAAUAUCUUGUGACCUAGAAUGUAGAAGUCUUAAACAUUACCAGCCAUUCCCCCUACCCAGCAUGAACCAUUAUGCAGAAAAUAGAUGAAUUUUACUAUAUCAAAAUCAUGGAUUUAUUUUAAAAAGACAAGACAAACAAAUUUAAUAGACAAAUGGUAGUUUGGAAGGAGAUAUUCAUAAAGUCUAAAACUGAUAGGGGACUCAUCUUUUUAGACUAUGCAGGGAAGUCCUACAAAUCAACAACAGAACAAUCAGGGUGUCAGUUAAUCUUUUGUAUAACAAAUUACCCCAAAAUGUAGUGACUUAAGACAAUAAUAAGCACAUAUUAUCUCUUACAGUCUCUAUAGGUUAGAAGUUUGGGAGUGACUUAGCCGUUUCUGGGUCAGGGUCUCAUGAUAUUGCAGUCAUGCAUGUUGGCCACGGUUGCAGGUACUCGAAGGCUUGACUUCACGUUCUAGAAGAUCCACUUCUAAAAAGACUCUCUCACUUGCCAGAGGACCAGCAAGUUGGUGCUGGCUGGUAGCUAUUUCUUACCUUGUGUACCUCCCCAUAAUGUUCCUUAAAUGUCCUCAGGACAUGUCAGCGGGCUUCCCCCAGAGCAAGUCAUGUAAGGGAAUAAAGUAGAACAGCAAUAUCUUUUAUGACCUACUCUGAGAAUUUACACACUGUAAUUUCCUUAAUAUCCAGUUGGUUACGCAGAUCUGCCCUACCCAGUGUGGAAGGAAACUACACAAAGACGUUAAUGUGAGGCAAGGAUCACUGUGGGCCGUCUUAUAGAUUCACUAAGUCCACAAAUUCUAAUUUUUUUUUAAAGAUAAAAUAUGUUUGAAUAGGCAAUUUAUAGAAGAAAACCCCCAAGAGCUAAGAGCUAUAUUAAGAUAAACUUACCAGAAAGAUGUUAAAGGAAGAUGCUUCUUUAUACCUGUUUAGUUGGCAAACAUUUGUUUUGAUAAUGACAGGCAUUCAAAGACAUGUGAAGAUAUUGGAACCAACCCUGUGCACUGUUGGAGUGUGAACGGAUACAGCCAUCUUAGGAGAGAAUCUGGUAGGUAGUACCUCGUCAAAUUAAGAAUGUCUCACUCGAGUGUAAAAUCAAAGGAAUGGUUGCAGAAGACCUUAGAGGGAUGUAUUAGACAAACUCAGUUUUCCACCUGUUUCUCAUGUAGAACACUUUACUUCUAUUUACCAAAUGUGUAGAAGUUUUUUCCCACACCAAGCAGUUUCCUGUGACACCAGUUGGGUGUCCCCCAAUUUAACUCCAUUCUCACUACCUGGAGAUAGUAUCAGACCCACAGGUUAAGGGCUCCAUCCCACAAAACUGUGCCCACCCUACCUCAGAUACCAACAGUAAGUGAUAGGUCCCCAGGUUACAAAUUAUGUCUGAUUUGGUUACAAAAUUAAAGGUUCCCACAAUAUCCUCAGAUUCAAUUAAUUUGCUAGAGUGGUUCACAGAACUCAGAGAAACACUUAUGUUUACCAGUUUAUUAAAGGAUAUGAUAAAGGAUACAGCUGAACAGCCAGAUGAAGAGAUACAUAGGGCAAGGUCUGGGAGGGUCCUGAGCACAAGAGCUUUUAUCCUUGUGGAGUUGGGGUGCCUCACCCUCCCAGUGUGAAUGUGUUCGGCCAACUCGAAGCUCUCUGAAUCUUUUACUAUUGAGAUUUUCUGAAGACUUGCUCAUCAUAGGCAUGAUUCUAUUUCUAGUCCCUCUCCCCUUUCUAGAGGAUGAGGUGUGGUACUGAAAAUUCCAAACUUCUAAUCAUAGCUCAGUCUUUCUGGUGACCAGCAGCCAACUAAGAACCAUCCAGAAUCACCUCAGUAGAACAAAAGAUGCUCUUAGUGUUCUUAUCACUUAGGAAUUUCUAAGAGUUUUAGGAUCCCUGUGUCAAGAACUGAGGACAAGGACCAAUUUUUUUAUUAUUAUUUUAUAGGGGAUGGUUGUGAGGUUGCCUUUGCUAUAUUGUUUGUGGUAACAGGAGUUGGAAGCGAUCUGGCCAUUUUCAUUGGUAGGGUUACAAGGUACUGUACAGCAAUUAGAUAAACAUGACAAUAUGGAUAGGUCUUUAAUACAGUUCUGAAUCAAAAAAUUGGAUCUCAGUUAUUUCCUUCGUAGUUUCUGCUGUUUUUCAUUUUUAUUUGGCUACCUAUUGACGUUACAAACUUAACAUGUCUAAACCAAAACUCCCAGUUUUAUAUCCACUACCAAACACCAACUACCACAACUGGGCUGCUGACAGUAAAAACCCAAUCUUCUUCCAAUCUUCCAUCUCAGUUAAUGUCAUUACUACCAAUCCAGUUGCUAAGCAAAAAAUCCUAGGAAUCAUCUUUGCUUCCUCUUUCUGUCCAUGCCUACACUAGUAACAAAUAUCAUGUCUCAGUGACAAGUCCUGUCCCCUCUACCUCCACAGUACAUCCUGGCGCCUGGGAUUCUGCAUAUUGAACCAGCAACUCACAUUGAUUCUGAUGCAGGAGAUUCAUGGAUCACACGUUGAGAAGCCCUAAGAAACACUUUGUCCUGGCUUUUAAUUGAUUCUCUGAAGAGAGGCAAGCUGAGGACCACAUUCUGCAGACCCUCUUAUAGUUGAGAUUCUAUGUGUGACACUUGGGACAUGGAAACGAACAUCAUGAGGCAGCGGCCAUGUGACUUUUCUGACAAGCACCAUCAUGGAGUGAGCCUGAGUGUUGGGAGUAUCCACUUAAAAUGCCCUGUGAGGCUAGUCAUCUCCGUGUGAGCAGUUCCUCUCUCCAGCAAAUUAACAUUGCAGUAAGAAGUGGUCUCUCCUGGCUCUCACUGUAAUAGUUAAGUUUUGGGAGCGUCAAAAUUAUAUUCAACUUUUCGGCUGUGUGGGAGGUUGAAACCCCCAACCCCUAUGUUGUUCAAGGGUCAACCAUAUUGUUAUUUGGGUUUAUUAACACCGACUCUAAUCAAUAUUAAAGGGAUAAACAACCAAAAGGUAGUCAGUUACCAUUGCCAGAUGCUAAAAUAUGAAUACUGCACUUUCGCACCAGUUGGUGAAUGGCACCUAGUUUACUGCCCUGAGCCCUCAGGUACCUCCUGCUUCUUCCCUGACUUCCUGCGACCCUUCCUUGGGACCUCUCAUGUUGGAUCUCCUAAUUAUUGAGCACCUAAAAUGACUGGCACAGUUGGGGCCUCCAGAAAGCUGUUCCAGCUCUGUAACCAGCAUUUGAUCUGACUGGGACCAUAGUGGUUAUGAAGUCUACAUAUAUUUCAUUUCAAGACAAACUUCUCCCGAAUUUAUUUCUUUGGACUUAACUCCAAAAUAAAGCUAACUUCAUUGUGUUUUGCUUCAAAUUACUGUUUACUUCAUCUGCAUUUUUUCCCUCAAAAAGCCAUAUAAGCAAGGAGAGGACUCUGCCACUAAGACAAAUGUGAGUAUGUGCAGUGCAGUGCUGAGAAAGCUUUUCACUUUUUUUGAGUCUGAUUCCCACAAUACUCCUAGCUACUUUCACUGUUACAGUUAAAAGAAUGUGAAUUUCCCACAUUUCUGUCUCUUUUCUAUGCCUGUGUUUUUACUAUUUUCUCCAUCGAUUUGGCUGAUCUUUACAGUUCCUCCCAAAUUGACUAACUUAAUCCUGCUAUUUUUACUAACUAGCUUUCAGAAUGGAUCCCCACUAUGAAGAAUACGACCACCUGAACAAGGGGUAAAGGGAAGCAAAAUAAGAAGCGUAUUCCAUAUUGUCAUAACUAUGCAAAACUAAUGUGUCAGACUGGCUUCUCCAAAUGCAGGCUCCAAAACAGGAUGGAAAGUAUAAGGAUUAGAUUAGAAGAGAAGCCUGUGAGAAAAAAUGGGGAGGUAUGAGAGAAAAAUGGGGGGUGGGUGGGAGAAAGACCACAAAGUAAGCUUGAUCCCGAGUUAUGGGGAGAGGGAAGUAGGUUGGGUGGAAGCAUCCUAGACUACUGUGUACUCUAAGGAAGUUUUGGCAAGGCUGUAGGGGAGUCCUUAAGCCAAAGUCUGUCAUUAGAGGAGUCUUGUUUCUCAGAAAUGGACCUGCCUUGGUAUUUCCAUUGUCUUCAGUUACUGGCUGAAAAACAUGGCCUCAUGGCACAAAUGGGGUGAUGGAUUUUGGCAUGCAGAUCCUGGGCUCCUGGUCUAUUUCACUGCUUGUAGUUGGAAAUCUACAAAGUAUGCCACCCUUCUUUUCCAGGUAGCCCCCCAAAUUCCUCCUGGAAGAACAAGUUACUGGCUUCAGCCUCUAAUUUGGCUGAGAUCUGAAGCUGCAGGCACAUCAAAUCAUAUACACAUCCACAAAAGUAAAAGAUAAAACAAUUUGCAAAGCUGUGAUGCAUCCUCAAGCUGUUUUCAUGAGGAAGCAAUGAGAUAAAUAUACACAAUGGCACCAAAAUAGACUACAAAUAAGUACUCUAAGCAUACACAAAUAUAGUACACACAGGUGCAUAGGAUAUAAGGGAAGUCAACUUUCUCUCUCUGUCCAGGCUGCAAAGUACCAAUAAACAAGACAUAGGAACACUAUAGUUUUGGGCCUGAGUGGGAGGAAAGAAAGGAAAAUGCAUUUGUCAAGAUCCUAGUUUUGUGCCAGCACUGUGGUAUGUGGUUUCAUGAUGCUAACUUCAAAUAUAUAGUACUAUGUAAGCUACUUAUUGAAUACCCAGAACAACCUUUCAGGUAGGUGUUAUUAUUCCUGCUUUACAGACAAACAGGAUUCAAGGAGGUUUUAGAUUCAAAACUAAAUAACUUGUCUAAGGUCACGCAUCUAGUAAAUAAUAGAUCCAGAAUACAUUCCCAGUCUUCUAGUAGGGAAGUAAGGGGAGAAGGGCAUUCUUGGGCAUUCUCUGUACAUACAUUUUUAUUUAUUUUUCCCCCAAAGUAUCUUCAGCCUUCUAAGUUUUGUAGCUGAGGGUAUUUUAUAUUGUGGUUUUGGCUCAACCCUAUCCACCUCACAGUGUGGGACCAAUCCUCUCACCAAAGGUACUCUUUAAGGAGCAAAGGGGAAGGGCUCAAAAUCAAGUUGGUCUCUUUCCCUAUCUUGGCAUGUGGGGCCAAUGACUGAUCCUUUUCUGUGUUCCAGUUUCAGGGAGUGGUCCCUGCCUUGGUUACCUGUCCAGUCCUCUAGUCCUAUUGUGACAGCACCACUGCUUUGACCCCUUCCAGUCUUUGGGAUGCUUAGAGUGCUUUCCCAGUGUGGGCCCUUCUUUACAUCUCCUGCCCUCAGACUUCCAGUUUUUUUCUGCCCUUUACUUCUGAGGGCUCCUUGCAUGGCUGAUCCAUCCUUGUGAAUUUAGGGGGAAUUCAGACCAUCCUUAAUCUCUACAUUUCUUUGCUAAUCAAAGCUUUGUUACCACACUUUAUUCAGAGUCUCAAUCUCCAUGCAACAAUGACUCCCAUUAGCAAAUAAACAUAUUCAAAUUGUUCCGCCAUCAUUAUUUCUUGGCUUAUGAACAUAGGGCUUCCUGGUAUCCAUCUUGUCCAAAUUAAAGCCCAUCUUUGGUUCAGGAAUAAUUAUAGAUGCAAUUUACUGAUCACUUUGCAUACAUUAUCUCAGUUCACCAACAUAACAGAUAGAUAUGUUCUACAGAAAAGGAAAUUGAGAUGUGGAAUAGAUUUGAUUCUCUGGAAGCAGACAUUGAGAUAGAGUAGCAAUCAGCACCUGUGAAAGUAAGGGGCCAGAAGCACGAUUUUUGGGCAGAGGAAGAAGUCAAACUCUGACAUAACCUUGGCUGACAACCUGGAGCUCUGGGUCAAGUAUUGCCCAUCAGCCCCAAAUGGCCAGCCUUUUUUACAUUUUCCUUGCUCCAUCACUGAAUGCAGGCUGUCAUGGAAAAUCAUGACCUUGGACAAGGUGAGUCUCAACCUGGCAGUCACUAAAGAAGUUUACACCUGGAAGCUGUCUGCCAGCUGCAUUCCCCACAGCCAAGAGCAAAUAUGUCCUUGAAGUGGCACCCAAGUGGUACAUCUCUGUGUCUACUACAGACUCUAAGAAUCCAUGAAUUUAUUAAAGAGUCUACAGCUAAUAAGCGGCAAAGAUUUGGUACCAAGUCUUUUGUGACUCAAAAUCCGUGUCUCCCACCAAUUCAUGCUUGUUUUCCAAAUAUCCAUUCGAAUCAGCUAUCAGAAUCCCUUUGGGAAAUUCCUGUGAGAAUCUCCUUCAGUGGACAUAGAUGAGAUCCGGGAAUCCCAACCAGUGUAUAAAAAGUGCCAAGACUGAUACUACAGUGAAAGCAUAUUUGGAAACCAUUGCUACCACGAACAUUGAUGAGGAGAAGACACCAAGCGGAACAGAAAAAGUUUUAAAUGCUGGACUACAUUUGUGGCAGAAGCUAUGCAGUUUUUUGGGGGGUGCAAAAAGUUUUUAAACCAAGAUUCCCUCUGGGCUGAUGUUGUCUAAUAUCGGUGGUAAGCUCUCUCUAGGGUCCUACAUCUGUUUUGUGUUUGCUGUUUCUCUGACCCCCCCCCGACGUAAAAAUAUUGGAGAAAGCACAGCUGCUUCAUGAUCCAUGAAAGCAACUGAAUCUGUAAGUGAACUGAAGAAUUUGCCCUGUAUGUAGCUCCUAAGAUGUUUGGAAAUGAAUUUCAAGAGGCCCAAUUCUACAUGGCUUUUUGUCUUUCACAAUAAAAUUGGAGAUAGAUUCAUGUUUUUAAAAUUGUUCCUAGAACACAAUGCACUUUUUUAAAUGUAGUAAAUUCUUUGAAACUGUAGUAAAUUCUUUAGAUUUGCACAUUUAUUAAUUUAUUUUAGUACAAUUUUUCAAUCAAACAGUACAUGAUUAUAAUGGGACAAGGGUCAGAAUAGAAACGUAAUUGCUAGAUGAGGUAGAAAUUUAAAGCAAAAUUGACUUGUAGCUGAGCUAACAAACUUUGGAGCCAGGCUUCCUUCAUUUUUUUUUUUAAUUUUUAUGAGAAUGAAGACAGGAGACAGAUUCUGAGGGAGGGUUCUGUCUACAGCGGGCUUCUCAGGACUCCA